Molecule: non-coding RNA, 184 nt
Filed under: Aliterella atlantica CENA595
Lineage: Bacteria; Bacillati; Cyanobacteriota; Cyanophyceae; Chroococcidiopsidales; Aliterellaceae
Description: 6S / SsrS RNA
Rfam family: 6S / SsrS RNA
About the family: E. coli 6S RNA was the first non coding RNA to be sequenced, but its function was unknown until recently.
Source: Rfam by way of RNAcentral
GUUGCGCUGCGACGUUGGUGACUGCCAAUAAUGUUUUUGAUCUAUGUCUUUUCCAAUAAGGGAACUAAGAGGUCUUGGCAGCAGUAGACCGAGCUUGUACUCGGAAACUUUACGUCAGACCCGCUAGUACCCACCUGGUUUUUCCAGGUCCAAAACUGAGGUAAGACGGCGUUGCGGUCAACUU